RNAcentral lists this ribosomal RNA (507 nucleotides) under uncultured bacterium. RNAcentral's name for it is "partial 16S ribosomal RNA". It matches the Rfam family "Bacterial small subunit ribosomal RNA", at positions 29 to 523 of the family's 1533-position model. The record is from RNAcentral.
AGUGAACGCUGGCGGCGUGCUUAACACAUGCAAGUCGAACGAGAACGGAAUAUAGCUUGCUAUAUUUGUCAGCUAAGUGGCGCACGGGUGAGUAAUGCAUAGGAAUCUGCCCUGUAGUGGGGGACAACGUGGGGAAACUCACGCUAAUACCGCAUACGCCCUUAGGGGGAAAGCGGGGGACCUUCGGGCCUCGCGCUAUAGGAUGAGCCUAUGUCGGAUUAGCUAGUUGGUGGGGUAAAGGCCUACCAAGGCGACGAUCCGUAGCUGGUCUGAGAGGAUGAUCAGCCACACUGGGACUGAGACACGGCCCAGACUCCUACGGGAGGCAGCAGUGGGGAAUAUUGGACAAUGGGCGAAAGCCUGAUCCAGCAAUACCGCGUGUGUGAAGAAGGCCUGAGGGUUGUAAAGCACUUUCACUGGGGAGGAAAAAAGCAAUCUUAAUACGGUUGCUCUUGACAUUACCUAGAGAAGAAGCACCGGCUAACUCCGUGCCAGCCGCCGCCGUAA